GAUGAACGCUGGCGGCGUGCCUAAUACAUGCAAGUCGAUCGAACAGACGAGGAGCUUGCUCCUCUGAUGUUAGCGGCGGACGGGUGAGUAACACGUGGAUAACCUACCUAUAAGACUGGGAUAACUUCGGGAAACCGGAGCUAAUACCGGAUAACAUGUUGAACCGCAUGGUUCAACAGUGAAAGACGGUCUUGCUGUCACUUAUAGAUGGAUCCGCGCCGCAUUAGCUAGUUGGUAAGGUAACGGCUUACCAAGGCAACGAUGCGUAGCCGACCUGAGAGGGUGAUCGGCCACACUGGAACUGAGACACGGUCCAGACUCCUACGGGAGGCAGCAGUAGGGAAUCUUCCGCAAUGGGCGAAAGCCUGACGGAGCAACGCCGCGUGAGUGAAGAAGGUCUUCGGAUCGUAAAACUCUGUUAUUAGGGAAGUACAAAUGUGUAAGUAACUAUGCACGUCUUGACGGUACCUAAUCAGAAAGCCACGGCUAACUACGUG
This 497-nucleotide ribosomal RNA is filed under the name uncultured bacterium. RNAcentral describes it as "partial 16S ribosomal RNA". It matches the Rfam family "Bacterial small subunit ribosomal RNA", at positions 28 to 507 of the family's 1533-position model. The record is from RNAcentral.